This is a non-coding RNA of Rattus norvegicus (Norway rat), 827 nucleotides long. The record is from RefSeq and is a predicted model, not a curated record. Lineage: Eukaryota; Metazoa; Chordata; Mammalia; Rodentia; Muridae.
AAGAGAUAGCAUGGUGGACAGGUCACCUGCUUAAUUCCUGCUUAAUUCCAAGUCCUCAGUUUCCCCUUGGUCCCUCUGCCAUCCCCUACACUGAUGUUGAGGUUAUGAAGGUCUCCAUGGCUCUCUUCCUCUAUCAUAGCAGCCAUUGUACUUUAGAGUUAAUGCUAGUGCUCUUUGUGAAGGUCAGCCAGAGAAUACUGACCUUACUACAUCGUUCCUCUAUGUUUAUGCUCGAGAACUGUAUUUAUAAAUAUUUAUGAAUUAUCACAUACGGCUGUAUGACUCUUUAGAUCUAACUCCAAGUACUGUUUUGCUUUUUAAUUUUAAAAAGAUCCACUCCUAUUUUAUAUGUGUAAAUGUUUUGCCCACAGGUAUGUCCAUUUUCUACAUGUAUGCCUGGUAUUCACAGAGCCAGAAGAGGCUAUUGAAAUUAGAGUUACAGAUGAUGUAUACUCAAGAAAUAUCAACAAAAAUACUUCUGAGAAACGGCUGUCCAACCUCUUCAACGAAGUUGCUACCUGUAAUUUCACUUUAUUUUUGGUUCCUCUAGUCAUGGCAAUUUUCUUUUCUGGAUUGCUGGAGCUCACUUUUAAACACUGGCAGGAAGCCUCCAGGAAGCUGGAACAUCCAAGACUGUAGAAAGGCUCUGGUAUGAUUCUUAUGGCUGCCUCAGAAUCAUGAUAAGAAAAGAAAAUGGCAGAGAGCAAAGCAAGAAGCAACAUAUUCAUGGCUCAAACUGGAUGAGCAGAAAAGAACAGAACCCCUCCGUGGAUUAAAUGGGAUACCGCAAAGUCAGGCUUAGUGACUGAAUGAUCGCCAAGUUUAUA